CGGGGGGUUCAUGAGGAUACUCUUGACAUCUCCGAACGCCUUUUCACAGUCCUCGUCCCAUUUGUUAGAGGUUUCCUUUUUCAUUCCGCCAACUUGGGUAUGAACCGCGACAGCGCGGUGACCCUCCCAACCAACCUCUAAACCUCCUUCAGAGUGCGAGGGCUUUGCAUUUGCAGGACUGCGUCGCAUUUAUCAGGAUUGGCCUCUAUCCC
This 212-nucleotide long non-coding RNA is filed under the name Vigna radiata. Its description in RNAcentral is "long non-coding RNA (VRAD_LNC018541)". Lineage: Eukaryota; Viridiplantae; Streptophyta; Magnoliopsida; Fabales; Fabaceae. The record is from RNAcentral.